AGUGAACGCUGGCGGUAGGCCUAACACAUGCAAGUCGAACGGCAGCACAGUAAGAGCUUGCUCUUACGGGUGGCGAGUGGCGGACGGGUGAGGAAUACAUCGGAAUCUACUUUUUCGUGGGGGAUAACGUAGGGAAACUUACGCUAAUACCGCAUACGACCUACGGGUGAAAGCAGGGGAUCUUCGGACCUUUCGCGAUUGAAUGAGCCGAUGUCGGAUUAGCUAGUUGGCGGGGUAACGGCCCACCAAGGCGACGAUCCGUAGCUGGUCUGAGAGGAUGAUCAGCCACACUGGAACUGAGACACGGUCCAGACUCCUACGGGAGGCAGCAGUGGGGAAUAUUGGACAAUGGGCGCAAGCCUGAUCCAGCAAUACCGCGUGGGUGAAGAAGGCCUUCGGGUUGUAAAGCCCUUUUGUUGGGAAAGAAAAGCAGCAGGUUAAUACCCCGCUGUUCUGACGGUACCCAAAGAAUAAGCACCGGCUAACUUCGUG
This 492-nucleotide ribosomal RNA is filed under the name uncultured bacterium. RNAcentral describes it as "partial 16S ribosomal RNA". It matches the Rfam family "Bacterial small subunit ribosomal RNA", at positions 29 to 507 of the family's 1533-position model. The record is from RNAcentral.